RNAcentral lists this long non-coding RNA (28659 nucleotides) under Lactuca sativa (garden lettuce). Its description in RNAcentral is "long non-coding RNA (LSAT_LNC008715)". Lineage: Eukaryota; Viridiplantae; Streptophyta; Magnoliopsida; Asterales; Asteraceae. The record is from RNAcentral.
CAAAUUAAGGGUUUAAAACAAGUAUUGCACUAUUGGAUUCUAAUGAAAUGUUCAUCACAAAGUCAAAGUGAGGAAACCUUAAGUCAACCAUUUAUCCCUUAUUGAUUUUACAUCAAAAUCUUGUUUUUGUUAAAUUGUAUAUUUAAAUCUUAUUUUAGUUUUAGUAUAUUUCAAAAGACAAAAACCCCCAUUUUUAUUUUUAUUGUUAUUUAACAAAUAUUUUUACAAAGAGAUCUUCAUUGAGUAAUAAACUGAACCAAUCCCCCUGGAUUCGAUCCAUUUACCACUAUACACUAUUUUAGUGUAAAGGAUUUAGGGUUAUUUAUUUUGGUUGCUUCGACAACCACCAAAUUCUAAUCGCAAUAUGGUCUCUAAAGGUUUUAGAAAAACCUAGGGUAUCGGGAAAUUAAGCCCUUAAUAUAGACUUCUAAAAUCAGAGUCUACUCGUCGAGUCCAGUGACCGACUCGACGAGUCCCUCACUUAAAACCCGUGUACGGCAAGGCAUCUGAUGUUCACACAUAUUCGUAUCUUUUCGCCGAGUAGGUGUUCGACUCGCCGAGUCCUUCUGAUUUUUAGCUCUUUCUCUUCUUUCUUCAAUUCUCAAGCUUCCGGUUGCCAGUCCUGCUUUUGCUCCCGAGCAUGUCUUUUAGGCUGAAAAUACAACAUAAGCAAAAUUAAGUACCUUAUGUUCAAUAAUUGCAAUAAAAUAGCCAAAAAGUAUUAAGAUUCUACAUAAAUUAUAUGAUCAAAUAUGCACAUAUCAAAAUACCCCAAACUUGAGUUUUGCUUGCCCCCAAGCAAAAGUGAAUUUUAAGCACACCAGCAUCACAUAAGAUAAUCUCACUCAAACCCAGCCAUUAUGCCAAGACCGCAACGCAUGUAUUUGUGUCUUAAUUUUUUCCUAAGGACACCCCCCUAAUUCUAAAUACUUACAAUCCUCAUAAACACUUGUCCACUUCUUUUGAACAACGCUCAUUUUAUGCAUUGCGGCGAAUCCAUCCGCAGAAAACUAUCUUAAUCUCAAGGUAUUUUUGGUCAAGCUACCCAAGCAUACAUAAUCUAGAAAGAAUUACAAUUUUUGAUAUCACAAUGGAGCUCUUUAGAAUUCCUCAGUUCUUUGCUAAAUUGAUUUUUUUGAAUACACCACAUUCUUUGUUUGAUUUUUGGUUUCUUCAACUUUUGAAUUUCUUCAGAAUUUGAUCUUCAUACUUUAUACUUUCACUGCUCCAAAAUUCUUUAACUUUUUUGUAAUCUCUCUCUUUUUUUCAACAUAUAUCUCAUUUUUUUUCUCACUCAAAACCUACAUGCUUAAGCGAGGGAGCUACUCUUAACCAUUAUUGGUUUAAGCAUUAGUCUUAGUGUGCAAUGACUACUUAAGCUUUCCUGGAUACAUUUCAAGUACACGAUGCUAAACAUAUUGCGAUCCUCAAACUAAGAAAGGUUGUGUUUUUGUCCCAUGAUUUCACUAGAAUAAAGGGGGCCACAAAUGCAUUAUAACGUAUAUAGGCUCAACUACACAUUUGGGUCCUCAUAAAAUCAUCAAACACAAUACUAGCAUGGAAUCCUAAUUGCUUUUUAUCAUGGUUUUCUAAUUUAAGUCCUAGCAAUUUCAUGCAAAUUUUUUUAAAAUUAAACCUAAAAUUAGGAUUCUGAUUCUACUAAUUUAACCAACCCCCUACCCCACACUUAAUUCAUGCAAUGUCCCCAUUACAUGUUAUGCAGGAUAAAGAACAUAAAAGUAAAUAGGCAAUUGGAACAAACUCCCCUGGGAUAGUAAUCAUGAGGUCGAUAUUCUUCUUGUGAAGAUCCAUCUUCAGCUGACUUUUAGAAAUGGGAACAGCUCAUCCAUGCCUUGGGUGUCAUUCGUCUCGUGUGGUACAGCUCCAAAUAUAGACGAAAAAGCUCUUGGAAACACUCGGAAAAUGAUCUUUAAAAAUAUAGCCAAUCACUGUGUUGAAUGUCAUCAAAUCAUCAGCUUGAAAAAUAAGAUAAUGAUCAACUCGUCGAGUUCCUCAGGUGGCUUGCCGAGUUAAAGCGUAAAGUUGGCAGAAGUCAUGUUUUUUCACUUGGAAUCGCCGAGUUGAGUAUAUGGACUCGCCGAGUCCAUCGUUGUAUGGACAAAAAUUGUUCUGCCAUCAAGUCCGUUUCUAGGGUGUUUGUUGGAUAAUAUCAACAUGAUAUUUUUCCUCAAUUUUCAUUAGUAAAUAAGCACUCUUUAACCUUUUUCAUGAUUGGACUCGAUACCGGACUCUAAACUUCUAUUUCUCUCGCCCAGACUCGAUUUUUUUCUUGGUUAGCCUUGACUCUAGACUCUUGUAUGCAUUCCUUACCCUCAAACUGAAAAGACCAAAAAACAACACACAAGUGAUAGAAAGGAAAACAAAUAAAAUCCUACAUAGUUCCUGAUUACUACAUGUUCCAAACAUCAACCAAUAAAAACAAGCCAAAAACAAAAUAAAAAUUGUCUCAAACAAAACCACACAAAUAAAAAUAAAAACUAAAAAGGAUAGUCAUUCUUCAUCUUCCCCAUCUCCACAACCUCCCGCUCCGCUUCUUCUUGCUUCAAUCCGCUCGUCCCAACUCCUAACAUAAGGGUAAUCUGGGGUAUCCAUGCUUGGAAUAUUCAAGUGGGUAAACAAAUGUGAAAGAGCCAUAUUGUUGUAGUUCAUGCUCCUCCCUAAGUCAUCCUGGUACCGCACCUCCAUAUUGUACCAAUCCAACGGUACCUCAUCGUCAACCGGGAUUACCGGUGGGUCGUCAUGUGCAUGCUCAUGUCUCGGCCUCACCCGUCUACCCGGUUCCUCGAGCGAUACUACUUUGUCCUCAUGUGGAAUAGCAAAAGUCCCACCACCAAAAUCCUCAACAAUCCUCGCCCUCAUGUACAGCAUAAUACUAAACUGAGGUGUAGGUAUCAUUGUCAAGGUAUUCCCGACUCCUCUCCCCAUUACACCAUAUGAUCUUGCCAAGCGGGUCACAAAUAUCCUGCCAUUUAUUUUCGAGGUCUUUCUUUCCUUGACUGCUCCAUCCCCCAAAUAUCUUGCCAAACAAUAGGGUAUGUUGCAGAAUGUGUUCGGCGUAAUAAUGCUCCAUAAAUAAAACACAUCAAGGUUCGGGACCUUGUCAUCAUCUUUUCUCAUAUUUAUGGUGCUCGAGGUAAGGCGAUGAAUUAAUCUGUGGAUAAGUGAUCAAAUACUUCCUUCUUGAGCGGAAGAUGGAAUAUAAACUUUGUUGGCGAUUGUGUUCCACCAACCCGAACCCGUCAUCCCUUUCGGAAUGUCUUUAUGGCAAUGUUCCUCCAUAAAUACACCAAAAGCUUCAGACAUGACCACAGAUUGGUCAUAAAUUCUCAUCCUCCAUCCAAGUUCCACCAUACUACAUUGGCGAUACUCCCCGCCAAGAAAAAAUGUAAUGACCCCCAGAUUGUAAUAAUCAUUCACCCCGUAGAAGGUAAUGGUCGAGAAGACCUCCCAACAUAGCUCCUGGUAAAUCGGUUCCUGAAUCCAAAACAACAUAUUCCACCCGUCACAUGUAAUGGUCACCCCGUUGUGCACAAAAGUUUUGACAGAAUACGGGGUCAAUUCUUCUUCCAAUCUAACCUGGCCAAUCCAUUCCCAAUUUAUUUCAUUUGGGACAUAAAUUUCUUUCAUUUUGACCAAAUGGUCUAUUAGAGAAAGAAGCUAGAGGUAUUGAAGAAGAAGACCAUUCUUCUUCCAAUCUAACUUGGCUAAUCCAUUCUAGAGGUAUUGAAGAAAAAUAAAUUUAUGUCCCAACUGAAAUAAAUUGGGAAUGGAUUGGAUAGGUUAGAUUGGAAGAAGAAUUGACCUUGUAUUCGGUCAAAACUUUUGUGCACAACGGGGUGACCAUUAUAUGUGAUGGGUGGAAUAGGUUGUUUAGGAUUCAGGAACCAGUUUACCAGGAGCUAUGUUGGGAGUUCUUCUCGACCAUUACCUUCUACGGGGGUAAUGAUUAUUACAAUUCGGGGGUCAUUAUAUUUUGUCUUUGCGGAGAGUAUCUCCGAUGUAGUAUGGUGGAACUUGGAUGGAGGAUGAGAAUUUAUGACCAAUCUGUGGUCAUGUCUGAAGCUUUUGGUGCAUUUAUAGAGGAGCAUUGCCAUAAAGACUUUCCGGAAGGGACGAUGGGUCUUGGUUGGUGGAACACAAUCGCCAACGAAGUUUACAUUUCAUCUCCCGCUCAAAAAGGAAGUAUUCGAUCCCCUAUCCACAGAUUAAUUCACCGCCUUAUCUCGAGCACCAUAAAUAUGAGAAAAGAUGAUGACAAGGUCCCGAACCUUGAUGUGUUUUAUUUAUGGAGCAUUAUUAUGCCGAACACAUUUUGCAACAUACCUUAUUGUUUGGCAAGAUAUUUGGGGGAUGGAGCAGUCAAGGAAAGAAAGACCUCGAAAAUAAAUGGCGGGAUAUUUGUGACCCGCUUGGCAAGAUCAUAUGGUGUAAUGGGGAGAGGACUCGGGAAUACCUUGACAAUGAUACCUACACCUUAGUUUAGUAUUAUGCUUUACAGGAGGGCGAGGAUUGUUGAGGAUUUUGGUGGUGGGACUUUUGCUAUUCCACAUGAGGAUGAAGUAGUAUCGCCCGAGGAACCAGGUAGACGGGUGAGGCCAAGACAUGAGCAGGCACAUGACGACCCACCGGUAAUCCCGGUUGACGAUGAGGUACCAAUGGAUGGGUACAAUAUGGAGGUGAGGCGGUACCAGGAUGACUUAGGGAGGAGCAUGAACUACAACAAUAUGACUCUUUCACAUUUGUUUACCCACUUGAAUAUUCCAAGCAUGGAUCCCCCGGAUUACCCUUAUGUUAGGAGUUCGGACGAGUAGACUGAAGCAAGAAGAAGCGGAGAGGGAGGUUGCGGAGAUGGAGAUGAUGAGGAAGAUGCAGAAUGACUAUCCUUUUUAGUUUUUAUUUUUAUUUGUGUGGUUUCGUUUGAGACAAUUUUUAUUUUGUUUUUGGCUUGUUUUUAUUGGUUUAUGUUUGGAACAUGUAGUAAUCAGGAACUAUGUAGGAUUUUUUUGUUUUCCUUUUCUAUCACUUGUAUGUAGUUUUUUGGUCCUUUCAGUUUGAGGGUAAGGAAUGCAUACAAGAGUCUAGAGUCAAGGCUAACCAAGAAAAUAAUCGAGUCUAGGCGAGAGAAAUAGAAGUUUAGAGUCCGGUAUCGAGUCUGAUCAUGAAAAGGGUUAAAUAGUGCUUAUUUACUGAAGAAAAAUGAGGAAAAGUAUCAUGUUGAUAUUACCCAACAAACACCCCAGAAACGGACCUGAUGGCAGAACAAUUUUUGUCCAUACAGCGAUGGACUCGGCGAGUCCAUAUACUCAACUCGGCGAUUCCAAGUGAAAAAACACGACUUCUGCCAACUUUACGCUUCAACUCUGUCACAACUAGCAUUUUUAGCUAGGAAAUUCUAUUCUCAUAAAAACAUCAUCCAUUGUAAGGCAUGUGCUCUAAGUGAAAAUCAAACUCUAUGCUCAAUCAAAAUCAUCCAUUUGAAAUCAAAACUCUCUCAAGAGGUUCAAGACCUAAUACAAUACACCUCAUACGUUCAACUAUGGGUUGAAAACACUAGAAAUCCCGGCUCAAGUUCAUUAUGGAGUAGGAUUCUCUUAUUGGUUCUAAGGGACCAAUAAAUCAUCAAUUCAUCAAUCUAUAACAUUUUGGGCCAUUUGGGCCUAGAAUGAUUCAUUCUACCUCCAAUGGACCAUGAUGGGUCAUAAAUGAUUUAAUUAGCCCUAAUGGGCCAUAAACCCAUUCCUUUUACCAUCUUGGGUCGUGAACCCUAAUAAGGGGCCCAAUGGGCCGAAGAAAAAAAUGCUUUUGAGCUUCACAAAAAUCUGAAUAAGCCAAGAAUGGGCCCAAAACCAUUUCAUCUCCAUUCUUUUAAGCACAUUCUCGGCCCAUGUAACUAAACGAAAAAAAGAGAACAAUGAGGAAUUAUCUACUAGUGACACAUCACUUUUGUUUAAAGGAUAACCAAGCCUAAUACAUCACAUACAUCUAUACAAGUUCCAUAUAACCAUGCAUACUCUCUCCCCUCUCCACUUGAAUCUCGGCCAAGAACCAAAAACACACACACACACUCUUUCAAACACUUCCUCAAUCACUCUCAAACAUCAUUCUCCUCCUUCCUCCAAGAUCUCGAAAAUUUGCUAGAGAUUUAAGGACCUUCAUCAAGUCAUUCCAAUUCUUGGUAAGUUAUUGUCAAACACAAGUAUCUUCUUUCAUGUUAACAUUAAAAACUCCUUCUUACAUGGUUUUAUUCCAUGAUCACACCUUAGAAGCUUCUUAAACUCGAGAUCCACAACAAAGGUAUGCUAAGACCAAAAAUCUCUUCCACUUCUUCUCCAAAAACCGAAAAAUCAAGCAAAGGUGACUUCAUACCCCUUGUUUUCGGUUUUCAUAUGAUUUUGGGGGAGAAUACAAGUUGCUUUGUGUAGAUCUAUGUGUAUAUGCAUGACUAUGUGUGUUUUCCAUGAAUUAUUUGGUGAUUAUGUGUUGAUUACUUCAUUAAUCUAAAAAUAUGUUAAAAACUUGAAGUUUAUCACUUCGAUCUUCAUAAGAACCUUGAGAAAAGUAUGUUUUAUCACAUAUAUUACAUAUAAACUUGUAGAUAUCGGAAUUAUACACUUAAAAUAACAAAAAUGAGUGUUGUGCUCAAAGAUCUAUAACUUAUACUCAAAAAUCAGCUUUUGACAGGAAAGUUUUAGCCCAAUCUCGAACUGUUUUGACCCUCUUAAUCGAAGUAUUUUUCAAAACUGUUUUACAUGGUCAAAGUUAAGAACUAUACCUUUAAAAUGACUACUCUCACGUUUUCAUACGAUUUUUCUACAAUUUUUGGCGAAUUUUACAAAACUGCCUAUCAGAAUUGAAAUAAUUUCGGACCAACCUGUGAAGGUGAGUAAUUUCACACUAGUUUGAAGCCAUCAAAAAUUAUGAAAAAAAUUGUAAAAUAAUUAGACAAAAUUUCCAAACUUCCAGAAUUUACGGAUCCAAAUUUCGACUUACGAUGAUUUUUCUACGAAUUUUCCAACAACUAGGUCAGAAAAACUCAAAACCAGAAAAAUGUGUAUUUUCACAAAAAUCAAUCAAAGAAUGAUAUUUUUGACAAUAAUAGGUUUUAAAAUGUUAUUUUUACCACAAACUAGUCAUCAACACAAGUUUUGAACAAAAUGGAGACUAAAGUGUAUUUCUUACAAAAAAAUUGGGCCUUAAUUGUAAAUUUUUGGCUUAUUGGGCCAAGAACGUCAUUUUUACAAAAAGUGGGCUUUUAUGCUAUUUUAGUGAAUACUUCAACCAAAACCAACGAUAAACCAACAAACGGAUUAAUUUGAUCAUUUUCUAGGUUAUUUGGUCCUAGUGGUCCAUUUUUUAUGUGUGAUAGGUCCUGUAUACUAUUUAUAUGUUUAUUAGGCCUCAUUGACCCAUUAACAUGUGCAACGGACAUUGGAUACUAUUUGUGUGCUAUUUGGGCCUAUAAAUACCUUACAUGUGAAAUGGGCCUUAGUUGUCCUUUCAUAUAUAUUUCGGGCCCAUGUUAUAUAAUCUCGUUCCAAUUGAGCCUUGAAAUGAUUUACAUGAUUAGCGAUGUCUUAGUGGUUCACUUACAUGGUUCAUUGGGCCUGGAAUGAGUUUAUACUUUUCUUCGUGUAAAUUUGAUUAAGGAUCUAGUGAGUUUUGUCGGUUGGCACCUAUUAAGUGUAUGAUUGUAGCCUGUAGUUAUAACCAGAGUCUCUUGGAGGGAGAGCGGGGAUUUGUGUAUAGAUCUAUACGGGGAUGACACCCCACACCUGAGAUGUUCGCUACAGUUAGACUAACUCAGUCUAGGGUGACGAAAACCAUAUAAUUAAAAAUCAAAAUCGGCGUCCAACAACGCCAAGACAGACGAAAUUGUCAUUAUUUAGUAUGGUUAUGACGGCUCACUUAGAGGAAUUAACGUUAUGAAGUUUACGGAAGACCAUUCACUUUUCUCUUGGGUUACUCGGAAACAUUCUCGUACUGGUACUCAACCUCGGGGGUUGGUAUGGCAGCUUUCUCUUUUACAGGCAACAUUGGGUUGUCUGGGAACAUUCUCUUUACAUGCUCAUUACAUUCCCUAUAUAUUCUCUUUACCCCUUUUAGUCAAAUAAACAAAAACAUACAUGCAUUAAUACAAGAUGUGACACAAACAUACUAAACAGUUUGCAGAAAAUAUCGGAUUUUCUGGUGGUUUCAAAGUUAUACAAUUCAUUUUCACAAACAUGCUUAUGAACUCACCAACAUUAUAUAUGUUGACAUUUUCAAAAUAACUUGUAUUCUCAGGAAACCGUUGAAGCGGGAUGAACGAAACAAACUAAUGGAUAUUGUGUUAUAUAUUGUUUCAUCAUACUCUUACUAUUUUGGCAUGUAAUAUUAAAAUACAAUACUUGAUUUAAACAAUGAAUGUUGUUAUAUUAAUGUGUGAUGAUGAUGAUGUUAUGUUUCAAUUAUAUUAAUAACUGUAAUGAUAUUUCAAGAUGAAGUCACACACAAGCCCUCAGACGUUUCCGCCGUCUUGUUCGAAGGUGUGAAGUUGACCUCACUUACUUAAGCAUGUAGGUUUUGAGUGAGAAAAAAAAGUAAGAUGCAUGUUGAAAAGAAAAAGAGAGAGAGAGAGAGAGAGAGAGAGAGAGAGAGAGAGAGAGAGAAAAACUACCAAAAAGUGAGAAUUUUGGAGCAGUCAAAGCAUAAAAUAUGAAGAUCAAAAUUCUGAAGAAAUUCAAAAGUUAAAGAUAUCAAAAAAUCAAACAAAAAAAGUGAGAUACAUACGUUGCGGUCUUGGCAGAAUGACUGAGUUUGAGUGAGAUUGCCUUAUGUGAUGCUGGUGUGCUUGAAAUUCAGUUUUGUAUGGGUGCAAGCAAAAGUCAAGUGUGGGGUAUUUUGAUAUGUGCAUAUUUGAUCAUAUAAUUUAUGUAGAAUCUUAAUACUUUUUCACUAUUUUAUUGCAAUUAUUGAACAAAAUGUACUUAAUUUUUCUUAAAUUGUAUUUUCAACCUAAAAGACAUGCUCGAGAGCAAAAGGAAGCAGGACUGGCAAUCUGAAGCUUGCGAAUUGAAGAAAGAAGAGAAAGAGCUAAAAAUCUGAAGGACUCGACGAGUCAGACACCUACUCGGCGAAUAGAUACGAAUAUUCACGAACAUCAGAUGCCUUACCGUACACGGGUUUUAAGUGAGGGACUCGUCGAGUCAGUCAUUGGACUCGACGAGUAUCCCCUGUUUUCAGAAGUCUAUAUAAAGGGCUUAAUUAUACCCUAGCUUUUUCUGGAACCUUUGGCAACCAUAUUGCGAUUAGAAGCUGGUGGUUGUCGAAACCAACAAAAUAAAUAACCCUAAAUCCUUUACACUAAAAUAAUGUAUAGUGCUAAAGGGGUUGAAUCCACGGGGAUUGGUUCAAUUUGAUACUCAAUGAAGAUCUAUUUGUAAAAAUAUUUGUUAAAUAACAAUAAAAAUAAAAAUGAGGGUUUUGGUCUUUUGAAAUAAACUAAAACUAAACUAAGAUUUAAAUAUACAAUUUAACAAAAACAAGAUUUUGAUGUAAAAUCAAUAAGGGAAAGAUGGUUGACUUAAGGUUUCCUCACUUUGACUUUUUGAUGAACAUAUCAUUAGAAUCCAAUAGUGCAAUACUUGUUUUAAACCCUUAAUUUGGCUAUAGUAAUCCAAGAAGCUUGAGAUUACUUAGGCUUUUCUUAGUUGUUAAAAUAAUUAGAGAAGCUCAUAACAAUUUUCUUAGUCAAAAUCACAAUUUCCAUUAAGCAUGUAAUUAGUGAAAGUCAAGUAGCAUAAAGAACUAAAAAGUCACCAAAUCCAAGAGGAGUCAAAAGCUUCCACUGCCAUUUUGGAGAAAAUGUUUUUAUGAUUGUGAGAAAUAAAACUAACACAAAAAUCACAUGUUGCUUGCUAAUUUGAUGAUCUUUUACUUAAUCAAGAAAUUAGCCAAUUAAUCACCACAAACACAUUUAAACUCAUGAAUAAAAACAUACAAGUAGUGAUAAGAUGUUAAACACAAAACAUUUUCAUAAAGAUUCAAACAUAAAUUCGUGGAAUCUUCAACAUUCAACAAUUAGUCAAAGGAUUCCACCAAAGUCAACCAUAAUUAGUAUAGUCAAACAUGGCUAAACUUAAGAAAACAAAGUUAGUGAAGAUUGUACCAAACAUUUAACAAGAAUCAAGAGGUGAAAUGAUGAAGUUUUUUAGGGUUCUUGGCCUUCAUAGUGCUCCAAAACUCCAGAGGGAAUGCUUAAAAAUCGGAUGUCUAAGAAUAAGCAAAAGAUGCACACCAACCUUCCCCAAAUAGCCCUCAAAAUGAAAUUUUGAAACUGCCCCUGCUGAGUCGUGCGCGGCCACGAGCCCUGCACGGGUGGGUUGCACGGGUGGUAUCAGAUCAUGGGUUCUUGAGAGUUCGGGCCUCCACAGCUUAGCCAACUUGGCCCAGUUCGAGUCCAAACAGCUUCUAGCCCAUUUUUCUUUAAGUUCACUUCAUUUUAUGCCCAAUUUGGCUUCUCCAAAUUCUCCAAAGCUCGUGAACUUGCCCGAUUAACAAUCUCCACAUGCUCGAAUAUUCUCCCACAUCUUGCAAUUUUAAAGUUCAUUUUCUCCAAUCCUUCAAAUAAUCAUCAAUCCCACUCCAUGCAUCAACUCCAUUAUCACCAAGCCUAUAAUUCUCGACUUCCUCUUAUUCUAAUCGCUUUCCAUACGUCCCAAACACCCCCGCUCCACUAAUCUCCAUGAAAUCUGCAAUAAAGCUCACGAAACUAGAAAGUACCCAAAAUGGUCAUAAAAUAACAAAAAGGAAAAUAUGCAUCGAAAUUAACUAAAUUAGGGAUGAAAUAAACUAUAAAAAGAAGUAAAUAAAAUAAACUAUCAAAUCACCCCAAGCUUAACCCUUAGUUGUCCUCAAGUAAGAUAAGACUAAAAUGAACUCGGGAUGAACUAUCCAUAGAAAAAUAAAAAGAAUGGAUAGAACCGUAGAACCUGAUCACCGUUAGUCAACAUGGCCAGAAUUGAUCUCGCUGUUAUCUCAUUAAUUUUUCAUCUGAUGACAAUGGAACCAUAAACCACAGCUAGGACAACUCCUCUAGGUGAGUAAGGAGGGAUGGUUAGUCGCCGCCCCAAUGGAACAUGCAUAUAAUGAAAAACAUUUGUAGUAGGGAGAGAACAGUUGGAUGGGCUCGUGUGGAGCUCUUCUUUAAGUGUACACUCUUAUCACGACAGUUGCGUGAUCUCACGUCUGCCGGUUACUCUCGUGUGUAAUUGGGUUUAAUCGCUCGGACACCAUUGUAGGAAUCGGUUCACUUAGUGUUGGCCAAAACCUCUUGUAGUAUCCGACUCGACAGUCUCCUUAACAUCACCAAUUUACGAAAAACAACUCGAUCUAUAUAUAAUAAAACAAAGCUAUAUAAAUGAAUAUCAAACGCCAGGUGACCAAAACGUUGAAAAUUUGUUCUAUAAUUAAACCGAUCACCCAUCUAAGACAGCUGCAGCUGUAAAUUUGCUUGCCAUUAUUAUUAUUUUUUUCUUUAGUGAUUCAAUAUGAUAACACAUACUUGAAGAAAAUGUACUAGCAGUCGAAAUUUUUAACAAGAAAAACCUUUUGACUCAAAAUUUGGUUCCCAAAAGUGUGUAAGUGGAACCGAAAGGGUAGUAAUAUAAUCCGAAUGGUCUAAGUGUGAAAAUGACCAUGUGUGGAGCAUAAAGAUGUAAGCUCCUUUUCAAACUUGUGAUUUCUCAAAAACAAUGAAAAUGUCCAAAUGUGGACUAAAAGACUCUAAAAUCCUAAGAAAAUCGCAAAAAAAUGGUGAUGUAAAGAGACCUGAUAUAGAUUCUACUCGGGGACAAGCACCCGUGCUUCAUCCUAACGGUUCAAACUUGAUCAAGUGCGAUCCUCUCAGCGGUAUGGACCGCAAUGAUAAAAAAAAACGAUUAUUAUAGUGUAUCCUACAGUUGUUAGUAUUGCAUGCAUAAUUCUUCAUGAAAACUACAUGUCCAUGAUCACUUACCCCUUUAAGCUUCCAGCAUCUGAUCCCAAGUAUGAAAUCCAAAACUACAGCUAAUGGUCCUGAUUCGAUGGGUGAGAUAGCAACAAGAUUCUGGACCAAUAAUGAUACAAUAACUGUGAAUAUGUUUCAUGGCAUCCAAGGGGGGUGAGAAUAAACAGACAACAAAAAUGCAUGAAUGCUAAUGCCCUAAGCUAAAUGUUAUGCAAAAAUAAAAAGUAGAAAAGAAGAAAGUAAAAUCUUUUUGGAAUUUUAUAAAAUUAAAAAAAAUGAAUGUAAAUUAGCUUAAAACUAAUAUGAUAUGCAACCGAACUAAAAAAAAAAUGCAUGAAAAAUAAAAGGAAAUACCCCACCCCAAGCUUAAGAACAAACAUUGUCCUCAAUGCUUAAGGUAAGGACAGAAGUGACCUAAAUCGAAGGAUCGGGCGGCAGGAAAUGCCCGUGGUGAUAGUGAUAGUCUCGCAUGUCCUGGACCUGACGCGAAGUGGAUAGGAAGUACUGCUCCAGUUGACUAACGCGUGCUGCCACAUAUUGGAUGGCUUAGGUGUUCUCUUGCGUUUGAGUGUCAAUACGCCGAACUGUGGAGAACAUUGUGGCGAACUGGUCAAAAAAAUGUAGGGGGGAAAUAUGAUGGGACUUCGUGUCCCCCCUGCUAGUGUGGCUGAUCAAAGUGUUGUGGAGGAGCCUGGAUGUGGUCAUGCUGAUACAUCAGUUGUUGCACUGGAGGCUGAUCAAAGUGGUCCUCUGCCUCGGGAAUCCUUUCAUCAUCUUCUUCGUCCUGCUCCUCAUCCUCGGAGUCGAGUAACAUACAUGUUGGAGUCAACUAAUCCGGAGGAUUCGGCGUCAUUCGACUCGAAUGAAUCACCUACCCAGUUGGGAAGGAUGUAAACCGGGCGCUUGUCACUGUCAAGCCAACUGUAUUUUUCAUUGCCCCGACUCUCCAACAUUUACGCUCGCUCAAGAACGUAACAAUCCAGUAGGAAGUUGGGCUGGUAGUGGUCAACAGGCAAGUAGUCGGGGGCGGGGAAGUUUAGGCCGACAAAUCGACCUAUGAUAGUAAUGAGCCCCUCGAUAUGGAUCUCUCCUAUAGUGCGCUGACAGAUAGCCUCGCAUUUAUCGAGGGGAAAUGUGGACAAAUCAGGUUCUUCCCGAUGUAUCAUGCAGUAUAGGAAGAAAAGUUCACAUCUAUUUAUUUGACUGGGCUCGAGGCGACCGAAAAUAUUGGUGGUGAGAAUGUGGUGUGCAAUGCACCAACAAGGAUGGACUAUGUGCUUGGCCCUCUGGCGGCUCGGAUUGAACGUGUCGAGAAUGGUGAUUUGCGACCAAAACUCCACGUUGGGGGAAUGCAGGAAGCUGACUUAAGCUUGAGAAUGGAUGGUUGUGUCGUUUGUGCGGUCUACUCCCAUGUUAGAGUUUAGUCGCCCGAAUGAAAGCCGAUGGCUUUGGCCUUGUAAUUGGAAGGUGAGGACUUUGGAUUCAUUGUCAGUGGCGAAAGUGGACAAGAAUUUUAGUGUGGGCUCUUCGUAGGUCCUAUCGCAUAGGUUGAGAAAAUCACCCCACCCCAUACCACAAAACAUAGAUUCUAAACCGAUGUGAUCCCCAAGCAUAUUCAUUGACUCCUCAUGGUAAAACUUUGUGGGUCGGAUUGGGCGUCCGCGGAGGUUUGACCAGUAUGUUUUGAUUUCCAUCUUUGUAAGGAAAGGACCGUUCCCCUCAUUUCCACUUUGCUUCAGUUUCCUAAUGGCUUUUCGUGAAGUACCAGUUGCAUCUUUUUGUGGAUUAGGAUCAACAGAUGAGCCAUGAGUGCGCGCCUGGGUUUUGGUUUUGCCCAUUUUCAAGACCUACAAUAUCAAAAACAAUUCACCAAAGUAAUCCCUCCCUCACCACUCUCAAAGUAAUGCGACUAUUUUCAAACCGAACACAAAAUUCCAAUAAAGAAUGAUAUCCAGCUUUUGAUAAUUCAAAAAGGUUUCAAUAACACCACUCGGUUUAUUUGACAAUUCUAACAAAAAUUCGGCAGCAUUUCUAGACAAAAUGAGCAAAUUCCAACCAAAGUUUAAGCAAAUUUUAAACAAAUUCUCAAGCAAAUUAACCAAUUUCAACUAUUCUCAAACCAAUUUUUCCAAAUAAACCGGGACAUAACUAACGAUCCUAGGCGAUUUUCAAAGAAUAAUUGGAUGCAAUUAUCGUAUUAGAACAAUGCAAUGAAAUAAAAACCAAGGAAAGAAAAUACCCGAUUCAAUCGUUUUUAUCUCGAAAAUUGAGCUUGAACCCGAAAUCUGCUACCAUGCACCCCAAGCUUAGUGGUUGUUCGUGGGUGCCAAAAUGUAAAACUUGUUCACUAAAACAAUAUUUUCAACUUGAUUUUAGCGAAAAAUCUAGUGGUGACUCGUGGUGCCUCAAAAUUCCCGGCAAAAUUUUUGUGAGAUUUUGAGGUUUUGUUCGGAUGGAUGUAAAGAGCUUGGAAGAAGAAACACUUUGAUGGAGUCGGAAUUGCGAGAGAUGGCCGGAGUUAGCCGAAAAAUAGCCGGAAAAUGGCGAGAUGGUGGUGGUAGCGCCCCUAAAUCCGGCAACGGAUCGGAAGAAGGUUUGGGUGGGGUUUGUAUAGAAUGGAAAAUGGAUAAGAAUGGCAGUGGUCUCGCCGGAUUCCGACCGGUAGAACUCCGGAAAAUCAGAUUUUAGUGAGAGGUAGGGUUGGCCGAGAAAUCUCACUAUUGAUGUCUAGACGGGUAUUCCGGUUUUCACCAAAUCACGGUGGCACUAGAAGACCAAGAGAAGACAAUUUUUACAUGUCUAAUUGGCACUUUCGCAUACCGUAGCAUGCUAUUUGGAUUGUGUAACGCCUCGGCCAUUUUCCAACGUUGCAUGGUUAGUAUCUUUUCCGAAUAUGUCGAAAACAUAAUUGAAGUUUUUAUGGAUGACUUUACGGUGUAUUGGAACUUGAUUCAAGAAUGUUUGACCUAUCUCACCAAAAUUUUGAAAAGAUACAUUGAAACAAAUUUGGUUUUAAAUUUUGAGAAAUUUAAUUUCAUGGUGAGUCAAGGUCUCAUUUUGGGUCACAUUGUGUCUAAGAAAGGAAUCGAGGUAGAUCUUGCGGCCCUUAAGUACUUGGUACCAAAGUUAUUGUGUAUUCGGAUCAUGCGGCCCUCAAGUACUUGAUGACGAAGAAGGAUGCAAAGUCAAGACUCAUCCGGUGGAUCUUAUUAUUGCAAGAAUUUGAUUUGGAAAUUCGGGACAAAAGAGGAUGUGAAAACCUUGUUGUCGACCAUCUAAUCCGGAUCACUUCAACUGAAACUCCUCUCCCGUUGCGGGACGAGUUUCCAUAUGAGCAUCUAUUUUCCCUUACUCAAUCUAUCCCUUGGUAUGCCGAUAUCGUUAACUUUUUGGUCACAAAAAGGUAUUCCGACACAUCCACACGUGCUCAAAAAGAUAAAUUGAAAAGUGAUGCAAAAUAUUAUGUGUGGGAUGAACCUUAUUUAUGGAAACAUUAUCCCGAUCAAAUCAUUAGGUGAUGUGUGCCCCAACAAGAACACCAAUCAAUUUUGCAGUUUUGUCACGAAUUUGCUUGUAGGGGACACUUCGGACCUAACCGAACUUUAAGAAAGGUUCUUGAGUGUGCACCAUUUUGGCCAUCCAUGUCACGCGAUUGUUACUUGUUUUGUAAAAGUUAUGAACGGUGCCAAAGGAUGGGGAAUAUUUCACAAAAGAAUCAAAUGCCACAAAAUCCAAUCUUUGUUUGUGAAGUUUUUGACGUAUGGGGGAUUGAUUUUAUGGGCUCAUUUCCUGUCUCAUAUGGCAACAUUUACAUCUUACUCGCGGUUGACUAUGUCUCAAAAUGGGUUGAUGCCAAAGCCACAAGAUCGGAUGAUGCCAAAACGAUUAUCGAGUUUUUGAAGUCUAAUGUUUUUGUGAGAUUUGGUGUGCCUAGGGCUUUGAUUAGUUAUCGAGGGACGCAUUUUUGCAACAAGAUGAUGGAGGCUUUAUUAAAGAAGUGCAACGUGACCCAUCGCGUCUCUAUCGCCUACCAUCCUCAAACAAACGGUCAAGUGGAGGUUUCGAAUCGUGAAGUGAAGAGUAUUCUUGAGAAAACAGUGAAGCUGACAAGAAAUGAUUGGAGUUUAAGGCUUGAUGAUGCUUUGUAGGCCUAUCGAACCGCUUACAAGACCAUGAUAGGAAUGUCCCCAUUUAGGUUGGUUUUUGAAAAGUCGUGUCAUCUUCCUAUCGAAUUGGAGCACUGUGCAUUUUGGGCGGUCAAACAAUGUAAUUUCAAUAUUGAUGAGGCAGGAGGACAUAGGAAGCUUCAACUACAAGAGUUAGAAGAGUUGAGAAAUUACUCUUAUGAAAACUCAAGGAUUUAUAAGGAGAAAACAAAACUUUUUCAUGACAAGUCCAUCACCGAAAAGUACUUUGAACCGGGACAUAGGGUCGUACUUUACCAUUCACGAUUGAACUUUUUUUCGAGCAAGUUUAGAUCAAGGUGGAUAGGGCCUUUUGUUGUCAUAAAAACUUUUGACCAUGGGGCGGUAAAAAUCCAAAGUGAAGAAACGGGACAAAUUUUCAAAGUCAAUGGGCACCGUUUGAAGCCAUUCUAUGAAGGUUUCGAUGCAAAUGCUCUUGAAAUCAUCCAUUUGGAUGUCCCGAGGUGUUGAAGCAAGCUAGAAGGAGGUCUCGCCAAAGACGUUAAAGAAGGGCAUUUUUGGAAAGCGUUGUGCUUUCAUGUCUUUGAACUCGAAUAAAGAAGUGUUGAAGAUGUUUUGAUGUUUAUUUUGAAAAUAUCUUUGAAGAAAAUAAGUUUUUCAAGUGUUUAGGCCUUCAAAUGCAAGCCAAGAAUCCCAACAAGUGGAAGCGAAACGAAGCCGGAGACUGUGACCAGCACGCGCCCGUGUGGCCUUGCUCGCCCCCUUACGCAACCAGCAUGCGCGGCCGGGCAGCCUUGCGCGGGUGGGUUGCGCGGACACCCCUGAUCGUUUGAAACAAGCUCACAAAAUAGGACCUCUAACUGCAUCAUGCACGCGGCCGCGUGCCAUACCUGCGCGACCCGCACACCUCGUGUCCAACCAUGCCUUAUUUUUUUGACCAGCUUUGACUUUUGUUGACCAGGUUGAUUAAUGUGUUGACUAACAUUGACUUCCGUUGACCAGACCUUGACCAUGGAUUAAAACUUCCAGCACUUCAUCUUCUUCAUUCAACCCUAACAAAUCCCACCAUUUUUCUCUCAAACUCUCAAGAACACAAACACCCACCUCUCACUAAAAUUCGAUUUCCUGGAGUUCUACUGGUCGGAAUCCGGCGAGACCACCGCCAUUCUUCACCAUUUUUCGUUCUCUACAAACCCCACUCAAAAUUUCCUCCGAUCCGUUGCCGGAUUUAAGGGUGCUACCAUCACCAUCUCGCCACUUUCCGGCUAUUUUCCGGCCAAAUCCGACCACCUCUCGCAAUUCCGACACCACCAAAGUGUUUCUUUUUCCAAGCUCUUUACAUUCAACAGAACAAAACCUCAAAAUCUCACAAAAAUUUUGCCGGGAAUUUUGAGCCACCACGAGCCGCCGCCAGAUUUUUCGCAAACAUCAAGUUGAAAAUAUAGUUUUAGUGAACAAGUCUUGCAUUUUGGCACCCACGAACAACCACUAAGCUUGGGGUGCACGGUAGCAGAUUCCGGGUUCAAGCUCAAUUUUUGGGACAAAAACAAUUGAAUCGGGUAUCUUCUUUCCUUGGUUUUUAUUUCAUUGCAUUGUUCUAAUACGAUAAUUGCAUCCAAUUAUGCUAUGAAAAUCGCCUAGGAUCGUUAGUUAUUGCCUGGUUUAUUUGGAAAUUUUUGUUUGAGAAUAGUUGAAAUUGGUUAAUUUUCUUGGGAAUUUGUUUAAAAUUUGCUUAAACCUUUGUUGGAAUUUGCUCAUUUUGUCUAGAAAUGCUGCCAAAUUUUUGUUAGAAUUGUCAAAUAAACCGAGUGGUGUUGUUGAAUCCUUUUUGAAUUGUCAAAAGUUAGGUGUCAUUAUUUAUUGGAAUUUUGUGUUCGGUUUGAAAAUAGUCGCAUUACUUUGAGAGUGGUGAGGGAGGGAUUAAUUUGGUGAAUUGUUUUUGAUAUUGUAGGUCUUGGAAAUGGGCAAAACCAAAACUUAGGCACGCACUCAUGGCUCAUCCGUUGAUCCUAACCCACAAAAGGAUGCAAUUGGUACUUCACGAAAAGCCACUGGGAAACGGAAGCAAAGUGGAAAUGAGGGUAGCGGUCCUUCCCUUACAAAGACGGAAAUCAAAACAUACCGGUCAAACCUCCACGGACGCCCAAUCCGGCCCACAAAGUUUUACCACGAGGAGUCAAUGAAUACGCUAGGGGAUCACAUCGGUUUAGAAUCUAUGUUUUGUGGUAUGGGGUGGGGAGACUUUCCCAACCUCUACGAUAGGACCUACGAAGAGCCGACACUAGAAUUCCUGUCCACUUUCGCCACUGACAAUGAAUCCAAAGUCCUCACCUUCCAAUUACAAGGCUAAAGUCAUCUGCUUUUAUUCGGGCGACUGAACUCUAUCAUGGGAGUAGACCGCACAAACGACACAACCAUCCGUUCUCAAGCUUAUGUCAGCUUCCUGCGUUCCCACAACAUGGAGUUUUGGUCGCAAAUCACCGGUCUCGACACGUUCAAUCCAAGCCGCCAGAGGGCCAAGCACAUAGUCCAUCCUUGUUGGCGCACUGCACACCACAUUCUCAACACUAGCAUUUUCGGUCGCCUCGAGCCUGGUCAAAUAAAUAGAUGUGAACUUUUCUUCCUAUAUUGCAUGAGACAUCGGGAAGAGUCUGAUUUCUCCACAUUUCUCAUCUAUAAAUGUGAGGCUGUCCGUCAGCGCAUUACAGGAGAUAUCCAUAUCGGGGGGCUCAUUACUAUCAUAGGUCGAGUCGUCGGCCUAAACUUCCCCGCCCCCGACUACUUGUCCGUUGACCACUACCAGCCCAACUUCCUACUGGAUUGUUACGCUCUUGAGCGAGCGAAAAUGUUGGAUUGUCGGGGCAAUGAAAAAUACAAUUGGCUUGACGGUGACAAGCACCCGGUUUACAUCCUUCCCAGCUGGGUAAGUAAUUCAUUCGAACCGAAUGACCCCAAGUCCUCCGGAUCAAUCGACUCCAACAGGUAUGUUACUCGACUUUGAUCAGCCUCCGGUGCAGUAACUGAUGUAUCAACAUGACCAUAUCUAGGCCCCUCCACGACACUUUGUUCAGCCUCAGUAUCAGCCACACUAGCAGAGGGGGCACGAAGUCCCAUCAUAUUUCCCCCCUACAUUUUUUGAUCAGUUCGCCACAAUGUUCUCCACAGUUCGGCGCAUUGACACUCAAACGCAAGCGAACACCCAAGUGAUCCAAGAUGUAGCAGUAUGCGUUAGUCAACUGGAGUAGUCCUUCCCAUCCACUUCGCGUCAAGUCCAAGACAUGUGGGACUACCACUAUCGCCACAGGCAUUUCCCGCCGCCCGAUCCUCCGAUUUAGGUCAUUUCUAUCCUUACCUUAAGCAUUGAGGACAAUGUUUGUUCUUAAGCUUGGGGUGGGGUAUUUCCUUUUACUUUUUCAUGCAUUUUUUUAGUUAGUUGCAUAGCAUAUUAGUUAUUAAGCGAAUUUGCAUUCAAUUUUUUCAUUUUAUAAAAUUCCAAAAAAAAAUUACUUUCUUCUUUUCUACUUUUUAUUUUUGCAUAACAUUUAGCUUAGGGCAUUAGCAUUCAUGCAUUUUUGUUGUUUGUUUAUUCUCACCUCCUUUGGAUGCCAUGGAACAUAUUCACAGUUAUUGUAUCAUUAUUGGUCCAGGAUCUUGUUGCUAUCUCACCCAUCGAAUCGGGGUCAUUAGCUGCAGUUUUGGACUUCAUACUUGGGAUCAGAUGCUGGAAGCUUAAAUGGGUAAGUGAUCAUGGACAUGUAGUUUUCAUGAAGAAUUAUGCAUGCAAUACUAACAACUGUAGGAUACACUAUAGCAAUAGAUGUUUUUAGCCUUGCGGUCCAUACCGCUGAGAGGAUCGCACUUGAUCAUGUUUGAACCGUUAGGAUGAAGCACGGGUGCUUGUCCCCGAGUAGAAUCUAUAUCAGGUCUCUUUACAUCCCCAUUUUUUUUUUUUUGCGAUUUUCUUAGGAUUUUAGAGAGUCUUUUAGUCCACAUUUGGACAUUUUCAUUGUUUUUGAGAAAUCACAAGUUUAAAAAGGAGCUUACAUCUUUAUGCUCCACACAUGGUCAUUUUCACACUUAGACCAUUUGGAUUAUAUUACUACCCUUUCGGUUCCACUUACACACUUUUGGGAACCAAAUUUUGAGUCAAAAGGUUUUUCUUGUUAAAAAUUUCGACUGUUAGUACAUUAUCUUCAAGUAUGUGUUAUCAUAUUGAAUCACUAAAGAAAAAAAAAAUAUAAUAAUAAUGGCAAGCAAAUUUCCAGCUGCAGCUGUCUUAGAUGGGUGAUCGGUUUAAUUAUAGAACAAAUUUCCAACGUUUUGGUCACCUGGCGUUUGAUAUUCAUUUAUAUAGCUUUGUUUUAUUAUAUAUAGAUCGAGUUGUUUUUCGUAAAUUGGUGAUGUUAAGGAGACUGUCGAGUCGGAUACUACAGGAGGUUUUGGCCAACACUAAGUGAACCGAUUCCUACAACGGUGUCCAAGGGAUUAAACCCAAUUACACAUGAGAGUAACCGACAGACGUGAGAUCACGCAACUGUCGUGAUAAGAGUGUACACUUAAAGAAGAGCUCCACACGAGCCCAUCCAGCUGUUCUCUCCCUACUACAAAUGUUCUUCAUUAUAUGCAUGUUCCAUUGGGGCGGCGACUGACCAUCCCUCCUUACUCACCUAGAGGAGUUGUCCUAGCUGUGGUUAAUGGUUCCAUUGUCAUCGGAUGAAAAAUUCGUGAGAUAACAACAAGAUCAAUUCUGACCAUGUUGACUAACGGUGAUCAGGUUCUACAGUUCUAUCCAUUCUUUUUACUUUUCUAAGGAUAGUUCAUCCCGAGUUCAUUUUAGUCUUGUCUUACUUGAGGACAAGUAAGGUUUAAGCUUGGGGUGAUUUGAUAGUUUAUUUUAUUUACUUCUUUUUAUAGUUUAUUUUAGUUUAUUUCAUCCCUAAUUUAGGUAUUUAUCAUGCAUAUUUUCCUUUUUGUUUUUUUAUGACCAUUUCGGGUACUUUCUAGUUUCGUGAGCUUUAUUGCAGAUUUUAUGGAGAUUAGUGUAGCAGGAGUGUUCGGGACGUAUGGAAAGCGAUUGGAAUAAGAGGAAGUCGAGAAUUAUAAGCUUGAUGAUAAUGGAGUUAAUGCAUGGAGUGGGCUUGAUGAUUAUUUGAACGCUUGGAGAAAAUGAACUUUAAAUUGCAGGAUGUGGGAGACUAUUCGAGCGUGUGGAGAUUGUUAAUCGGGCGAGUUCACGAGCUUUGGAGGAUUUCGAGAAGCCAAAUUAGGCUUAAAAUGAAGUGAACUUAAAGAAAAUGGGCUAGAAGCUGUUUGGACUCGAACUGGGCCAAGUAGGCUAAGCUGUGGAGGCCCAAACUCUCAAGAACCCAUGAUCUGAUACCACCCGCACAGGGUUGCGCGGCUGCGCACGAUUCAGCAGGGGCAGUUUCAGAAUUUCAUUAGAGGGCUAUAUGGGGAAGGUCGGUGUGCAUCUUUAGCACACUCUUAGACAUCCGAUUUUUGAGCAUUCUCUCUGGAGUUUUGGAGCGCUUUGAAAGCCAAGAACCUUGAAGAACUUCAUUAUUUCGCCUCUUGAUUCUUGUAAAAUGUUUGGUACAAUCUUCACUAACUUUAUUUUCUUAAGUUUAGCCAUGUUUGGCUAAACUAAUUGUGGUCGACUUUGGUGGAAUCAUUUGACUAAUUGUUGAAUGUUGAAGAUUUCAUGAACUUGUGUUUGACUCUUUAUGAAAAUGUUUUGUGUUGUAACAUUUUAUCACUACUUGUAUGUUUUUAUUCAUGAAUUUAAAUAUGUUUGUGGUGAUUAGUUGACUAAUUUCUUGAUUAAGUAAAAGAUCUUCAAAUUAGGAAGCAACUAGUGAUUUUUGUGUUAGUUUUACUUCUCACAAUUAUAAAAACAUUUUCUCCAACAUGGUAGUGGAAGCUUUUGAUUCCUCUUAGAUUUGGUGAGUUUUUAGUUCUUAAUGCUAGUUGACUUUCACUAAUUACAUGCUUAAUGGAAAUUGUGACUUUGACUAAGAAAGUUGUUAUGAACAUCUCUAACCAUUUUAACAACUAAGAAAAGUCUAGGUAAUCUCAAGCUUCUUGGAUUACUAUAGCCAAAUUAAGGGUUUAAAACAAGUAUUGCACUAUUGGAUUCUAAUGAUUUGUUCAUCACAAAGUCAAAGUGAGAAAAUCUUAAGUCAACCAUCUUUCCCUUAUUGAUUUUACAUCAAAAUCUUGUUUUUGUUAAAUAGUCUAUUUAAAUCUUAGUUUAGUUUUAGUAUAUUUCAAAAGACCAAAACCCUUAUUUUUAUUGUUAUUUAACAAAUAUUUUUACAAAGAGAUUUUCAUUGAGUAACAAACUAAACCAAUCCCCGUGGAUUCGAUCCAUUUACCACUAUACACUAUUUUAGUGUAAAGGAUUUAGGGUUAUUUAUUUUGUUGGCAUCGACAACCACCAAAUUCUAAUCGCAAUAUGGUCGCCAAAGGUUCCAGAAAAACCUAGGGUAUUGGGCAAUUAAGCCCUUUAUAUAGACUUUUGAAAUCAGAGUCUACUCGUCGAGUCCAGUGACCGACUCGACGAGUAGCUCACUUAAAACCCGUGUAUGGCAAGGCAUCUGAUGUUCACGCAUAUUCGUAUCUUUUCGCCAAGUAGGUGUCCGACUUGCCGAGUCCUUCAGAUUUUUAGCUCUUUCUCUUCUUUCUUCAAUUCUCAAGCUUCCGGUUGUCAGUCCUGCUUCCUUUUGCUCCCGAGCAUGUCUUUUAGGCUGAAAAUACAAUUUAAGCAAAAAUUAAGUACCUUUUGUUCAAUAACUGCAAUAAAAUAGCCAAAAAGUAUUAAGAUUCUACAUAAAUUAUAUGAUCAAAUAUGCACAUAUCAAAAUACCACAAACUUAAGUUUUGCUUGCCCCCAAGCAAAACUGAAUUUUAAGCACACCUGCAUCACAUAAGAUAAUCUCACUCAAACCCAGCCAUUAUGCCAAGACCGCAACGCAUUUAUUGUGUCUUAAUUUUUUCCUAAGGACCUCCCCCCUAAUUCUAUAUACUUACAAUCCUAAUAAACACUUGUCCACUUCUUUUGAACAACGCUCAUUUUAUGUAUUUCUCCUAAUCCAUCCGCAAAAAACUCUUUUAACCUCAAUGUAUUUUUGGUCAAGCUACCCAAGCAUACAUAAUCUAGAAAGAAAUACAAUUUUUGAUACCACAAUGGAGCUCAUUGGAAUUCUUCAUUUCUUUGAUAAAUUGAUUUUUUUUUUUUAAUUCACCACCUUCUUUGUUUGAUUUUUGAUAUCUUCAACUUUUGAAUUUCUUCAGAAUUUUGAUCUUCAUUUUAUACUUUGAUUGGUCUAAAAUUCUUUAACUUUUUUUAAAUUUCUCUUUUUUUUUUCAACGUGUAUCUCACUUUUUGGUGAUUUCUUCAUGCUCCUCCCCAAGUCGGUUUUGAAUGAGAAAAAAAGUGAGAUACAUGUUGAAAAAAAAGAGAGAAAUUACCAAAAAGUUAAAGAAUUUUGGAGCAAUCAAAGUAUAAAAUAUGAAUAUCAAAAUUCUGAAGAAAUUCAAAAGUUGAAGAUAUCAAAAAUCAAACAAAGAAGGUGGUGAAUUCAAAGAAAUCAAUUUAUCAAAGAAGUGAAGAAUUCCAAAGAGCUUCAUUGUGGUAUCAAAAAUUGUAAUUUUUUCUAGAUUAUGUAUGCUUGGGUAGCUUGACCAAAAAUACCUUGAGGUUAAGAUAGUUUUCUGCGGAUGGAUUCAGAGGAAUGCAUAAAAUGAGCGUUGUUCAAAAGAAGUGGAUGAGUGUUUAUGAGGAUUGUAACUAUUUAGAAUUAGGGGGUGUCCUUAGGAAAAAAUUAAGACACAGAUGCAUGCGUUGCGGUCUUGGCAUAUUGGUUGGGUUCGAGUGAGAUUGUCUUAUGUGAUGCUGGUGUGCUUAAAAUUCAGUUUUGCUUAGGGGAAAGCAAAAGUCAAGUGUGGAGUAUUUUGAUAUGUGCAUAUUUGAUCAUAUAAUUUAUAUAGAAUCUUAAUGCUUUUUGGCUAUUUUAUUGCAAUUAUUGAACAGAAGGUACUUAAUUUUGCUUAAAUUGUAUUUUUCAGCCUAAAAGACAUGCUCGGGAGCAAAAGGAAGCAGGACUAGCAAUUGGAAGCUUGGGAAUUGAAGAAAGAACAGAAGGAGCUAAAAAUCUGAAGGACUCGGCGAGUCAGACACCUACUCGGCAAAUAGAUACGAAUAUUCGCGAACAUCAGAUGCCUUGCCGUACACGGGUUUUAAGUGAGGGACUCGUCAAGUCGGUCACUGGACUCGACGAGUAGCCCCUGUUUCAGAAGUCUAUAUAAAGGGCUUAAUUGCCCGAUACCCUAGCUUUUUCUGGUGCCUUUGGCGACCAUAUUGUGAUUAGAAGUGCUACUGAGGCUCUCGAACUCGAAUAUCAACCUUAGUUAUCAAUUUUGAGGAGAUUAAAAGGCAAAAACAUAUUCUCUUUUCUUAAUCUAGUGUUUACAACAUGUUUGAAUCAUUAGGUUUAGUUUGUGAGAUAUUUUCUACUAUGAAUAUGAGCUAAACACUUAUAGCUUCUGUUUAGGGUAGAUUAGCUUGUUAAUAUGGUAUGAUUUCUAUGGCAUGGAUUAUUUGAUUUGGUGAGAUUGUUUUUGCUAAGUUUGCUAAAGAUCAUUUUGUGUUAACAAUAACUAUUUUUUGUUAACUAUAAAGAUUAAGUUGCAUGAACAUCCUUUUAAUUGUUUGCCUCUGUGAAAACAAGAUUAUAUGCCUAGGAAUAGUGAACUUGAAACUAGGGUUAACUAGAAAAUAGAUAAGUUAAUGUGUGAGCUUGUAUGUUGAACAACCAUACAAGAUGUUAAUUAAAUUAGUAAUUUAAUUCUAACUACAAGUCUUACUUAACCUGAAUCAAUAUACUAGGAAACUCAUUAGUUUAACCAAUUGGCCACUGGUUGAAUUUAAAUUGUUUUCUAAGGAUUAGUAAUAGUGAACAUGAACCUAAUCACAUUAAUCGGUAGCCAAUGACAAAUUAAUUCAUUGCACUUGCCAUAAAAUCAACCAUAAGAAUAAGUGAGUCGAACCUGAAGUCCUGAACAGAAGGCUCCUUUAUUAUUGAAUUUAGUUGAUUUUUAUUUGCUUUAUUUGUUAAUAGCCUUUGUUUUAAUAUUAGUUAAUUGUUUAAGUUUAUAGGCUUGCAAAACUAGAGAAAACCCCUUUCUUUUAUUAUUUGUUUUUAGAUAAUUCUAGUAGUUAGUUUAAUUACCGUUCUCUGUGUUCAAUACCAUGCUUGCUUAAACUAUACCACUAAUUGACAGGUACACUGCCUUUUGUGUGUCGAAUUUAUGUUAAAAUAGUAGGACUAAAACUAGUGCACUUAACACACUUCAACAAACAAUUUGUAUGUAUUUUAUGUAUUUACUUCACGUAAAAUAUAUUUUUUUGUCUUUAAAAAAUACGUUUUCGUAAAGUAUAUUUUUUUUAUGCCUUUGAAAUAAUAAUAAUUAACACUACUUAUGACAUAAAAAAACUAUAAACAUUCUUUUGGGUCGCUAGUUCUAAAACCAUUUUUUCGGUUAUAUGUAUUAAAAACAACUUAACAACGAUUUUCUGAUGUAUCUAAACAAUUUAUACGGUUUUUUUAUGUUAAUAAUUGUUAUUUCAAAAAGAUAUAUCAUUAUUUCUUUCCAUCUUCAUUUUAACUAUAUGAUUUAGAACUUGCAAUUAAAAUGAAACACGUAUUUUAAAUAAGAUAUAUAACCGAAUAGGUUUUUUUUUUCUUUUCUUAAAUACAUAUUACCGAAUACGUAUUUAUAAAAAAAAACAUAAAAAAACAGUUUUCAGAAAACCGAUUGGACCAAAUCAAAAACAUAUUUAGCCGAUUUUGCCUUCCAAUACAACAUAAUAACAUAUUAUACCAAACCAAAAAAACCUAUUCGGUUAUAUAUCUUAUUUAAAAUACGUUUUCAGUUAUAUGUAUUUAAGAAAACAUAAAAAACCUAUUCAACUAUAUAUUUUAUUUACAAUAUGUAUUUCAUCUUAAUCAUAAGUUCUAAAUCGUAUAGUUAAAAAUGAAGAAGGAAAAAAUAUUGAUAUAUCUUUUUGAAAUAACAAUUAUUAACAAUAUUAUUGACAUAAAAAACGUAUAAAUUGUUUAGAUGCAUAACAAAAUCGUUGUUAAGUUGUUUUAAUACAUAUAACCGAAAAAACAGUUUUAGAACUAGCGACCCAAAAGAAUUUAUACAGUUUUUUUUAUGUCAUCAGCAGUGUUAAUUGUUAUUAUUUCAAAGACAUAAAAAAUAUAUUUUACGAAAACGUUUUUUUAUACGAAAACGUAUUUUUUAAAGAAAAAAAAGUAUAUUUUCAUAAAAUAAAUAUAUAAAAAUACAUGCAAAUUGUUUGUAAAAAAAGUAUUUUUUAUAAUACAACUAAAAUACAUUUUGUUUAUUUAAAAAAAAAUUAUGUAAACAAAUGUUUUUUGUAAUUUAUUGAUUGUUUAUGUUUAACGAUUUUGUUAUUAUAUAAAUUAGUUUUAGGAAACUAUAAACCAAGUGAGCAUGCAGCUCAACUGGUUAAAACUUUAGUAAUUUAAUAGGUUGGAGGUCACGAGUUCCAGGCCUCUCCCUAGCCAUUUAAUUGUCUUUUUCAAACAAAUUUCGAAAAUGAUCUCUGUGGUUUAGUAAAUGUCAUGGAUUCAGUCAUUUUAUACUUGAAAAGACGAAAAUGCCCUUAUAGAUACAGUCCUAACGGCAAAAUACUAACCGAGUUAGUAAAAAGGGCCAUCAAUUCAAGUUUUACAAAUCACAAGGACCAUUUGCAUCAAAAAAAAUUAGCAGGGACUGACUUUGUGAUUUUUGGCAAACCAUAGGGACCAUUUUUGUAAUUUUGUCUUAAUAUUAUCAUAUAUAUCUAUAAAUCUAAAAUAAAUUACAAUAAUAUUUUAACCUAAAAUAUCUUUAAUAUAAUUACAUUGAAACAUUAAAGAAAUUAUAUAAUAGUUUUUAAGUAAAUACACGAAUAUUUCAGGUAAUUAGAGUGUAUGGUCCUUUAACAUUUUUUUUAACUUGGACGAUCCCUAUGGUUUGGUUUUGUUUCGGGUUUGGUCCCCAACAAAGUUAAUAUGGCUAUCUUCCACUUGAUGAUAUUUUUCUAUAAUUUUUUAAUUCAUUUUUUUAUUAUUAUGUUAUUAUUAAAUAGAGUAAAUUAUUAAUGUGUAAAAUGAUACUUCACCAAACAUCGGAUGCUGCCCUUGAAACCACCUCCCCCACCACUGCAUACUUCUUGUAAAAGAUUGAAGGAUCCAGCCUCACCAUUUUCCCCUCUGUUAUAGACAAAGAACAACAAUAUCAUCCAUUCCUGAUGAAAAUCAAAAUCUCUUUCCUUAUUAUAGAAUACCAAAUUCACUCUAUUAGAUAUAUAAUCUCAAAUUCUCAACUUCCAUAAACAGUUCAAAAUAGAACCGAAAGAAGAAAUGCACAUAAACCAUCACUGUGGAAGCUCACAGGAAGCACAAGUUUAGGGACACUAGAAAGCGUAUCAGGUAAUUAAUGAUCUUACACUUACACAUGUGCAAACUUUGACAACAUGCAAUGCCUACUGAAAAAGGUUUAUUUACUAAUGCGGAAAAAAAAAUCUACAAUAAUUAUGGUAUCAUGUACCAGUAGAUAUCAACACAAAACCUAAUCUGAUAAUAUUGGGAGCAAUUACACACAUACAUUAUACAUAUAUAAUAUGUGGCCUAGUAAAACUAUACACACAUAAAUAAAUAAAAAUUCAUUUGUAGGAACUGCUUUCAUAGCAUAUGAAGAAAAACCAGUUCCAAACAUAGCAACAAUACGAAAACAUGAUUUUUUUCCAAUUUUCUCACAGUGAACAAAAGCAAGAGAAGAUUGAGGUUUUUCAUGAGAACGGGUCAACAUAGGACUAUAGUCUAUAGGUGAUUAGUUGAUACAAUAAAACAACACAACCACUACCAAAGGGUCUACUGAGAAGCAGAGGUUUAAUUGAGUUUGAAGCAUUUCCUCCCUUAAACAGAUAAUUACAGAUUACGUGGUGACAUUGUAUCUACCAUUAGGAACUGCAAGUGUCUUGCAAAACAGAGGCUAUCACCAUCUGCUUAUAUGCCUCAUUACCUUCUCUGUGUUACAGGUCCCAAUUUGUGCGACAAUUAGGUCAGACAGAAUCAUAAAAGCGUAGAUGGAUCAUUUUCCCAGUAUACAUCAAUGCAAUUGGAUUAUAUUACACAUAAAAACAUAUAUGCAUCGUUUUCGACAGCCCUAAAUUACUAUCUUCUUUGUAUUACAGGUCCCAAUUUGUGUGUUUUGUAGCAUUUUCUGAAUAUUCUUAAAAAACAGAUGCAGCAAAGUUCAUAAAAUAUAGAGAAUUAGGUCAAAGAAAAAAGAAAAUCAGAAAACAUACCAUGUGGACGCCAAUCACGCCAUAUGAGUUUAAGCUUCGCCUUUCCCCCGUACUCGUCUAUUUCCCGGUGACGAUAGUUUUGAGAGGAACGGAAAUUUGGGGGAAUUUUUGUUACUUGUAUCGUU